CGCACACCCAUUUUUUAAGAAAAAAUUAGUCCCAAACCCAUAUUUUCUGAAAUUGCGCUAUUUUGUGUUUUCUUAGAGAUCGACUUCAUUUUUAGGUUUUAUGGUAGGCUUUAUUUUUUAUGAUGAAUUAAAAUUAGGGUUCUAGUCAAAUUCAACAGAUAAGUGGUGCUGGAUUCGAAUUACCAUCAAGCUACAAGAUCAGUGAAACACAAACUAGGGUUUGUUUCGGAUUUAAUCGACUGAAUGAUGACAUCGAGAAUAAGAAAAUUUGGUUUCAUGAAGCUGAAACGAACAGAAGAACUUGAUUGUUGUUGAAUAAGAGAUGGGUUCGAUCUGUGAUAUGAUGAAGAUGUUGUUACCAUGAUAAUUAUCAAGGGAAAGAAUGGGUUUUUAAAGAUGAAGAUGGAGAUGGAGAUGGAUGUGAUGUUUCUGAUAGAUAUGGUUGAUGGGUCUGAGAUGGAAGUAAAUCUGAUGAGCUCUUCUUUAUGCCUUCUAAUUCAGGACAUUGCAGGAAUAAUGGAUCCUGAUUUGAUUGGAAAAUACGAUGAGGUGCAAAUGGAAAGAAUGGUUAUAGCAGUGACCCUUUGUAAACAAGAACAGCUCGAUUACGACCAGAGAUGAGUCAGGUAAUUCUAUUCCAUACGAGUUAUUUCCCUCACUGCAAGAGAUCGUACGCGUCUAGGUAGAUGGACAUGAUAUGUCUGAGAACAUGGAAGGAUAAUCAUAGAUGUGCUAGAAGAGGUGAUUUGGUAAAUGACGUUGAUAGAAAGGAUUUAUGUUCCUGGAAGCUGCUAGGAGAGAGAAAUGGAAUCGAUGUCCUUGCAGCCGGUAUGUGGAACGUAAACGUGGUUGUGCCCUCAUGACGUGCAGAUGUAAAGCAACAUUGUUACCGGUGUUGGAUGUAAGAACUGUAUAUGCAAACUAAAAGCAGGCUGUUGUUGCAGAAUGGUUAUAAAUAUUUUAUUGUGCUAUGCAUUUUUGGGUUUUGUUUGUAUGGUUUUUUACAUGGUUCUCUUGGGAAUUAAGACUCAUAGGAGCUGAUGAUGAGAUUCUUGAGGUGAUUACAUUAAAUCUACAAUGGAUUUCCAAACUGCUAUCGAGGAGACUCUGUCGGAUCUUUUACUCCGGCGAUCAACUGAUUUAGGUGAGCCGACAUCAAGUCACACACACAGGGUGUUUGUAAAAAUGCCUGAAUCACUAGCUUUUCUCAUGUGGUACAAAAGACGCUUCCACAAGAGGGUAUGUAAACUGACACUUUGAUUGGUUUGUAUUUCAGUAUCUCAUUACUGUUGACAACAACAGAAGCAUCAAUUGUAGAUAGUGUUAAUGCAAAAAGCUCAACAUCAAGUUGAGUGCCACAAAUGAGUGCGGCUCUAUGUCAAGUUUCCUUUGAUUUUCAUAUUUUAUUUGAUUUUUCAUGAGCUUUGCGGAGGAAUGACAAAUUCAAUUUUCAUUUCACAAGUGUUUUCUUUGUUGUAGUGGCUGCAUAAUCUAUUAUGCAUCUAUAAAAAUUGUUGAAUAAUUUGUUAUACAAUUAUGAAGAUGGAUGCAUAACCUGUUAUGCAUCUA
Molecule: long non-coding RNA, 1569 nt
Organism: Papaver somniferum (opium poppy)
Lineage: Eukaryota; Viridiplantae; Streptophyta; Magnoliopsida; Ranunculales; Papaveraceae
Exons: 2
Source: RefSeq, a predicted model, not a curated record